UAAUACGUAGGGUGCGAGCGUUAAUCGGAAUUACUGGGCGUAAAGCGUGCGCAGGCGGUUUGCCGUGUCCUGUGUGAAAGCCCCGGGCUUAACCUGGGAACUGCAUGGGAAACUGGCGGGCUGGAGUGUGGCAGAGGGGGGUGGAAUUCCGCGUGUAGCAGUGAAAUGCGUAGAGAUGCGGAGGAACACCGAUGGCGAAGGCAGCCCCCUGGGCCAACACUGACGCUCAGGCACGAAAGCGUGGGGAGCAAACAGGAUUAGAUACCCUGGUAGUCCACGCCCUAAACGAUGGCAACUGGGUGUUGGGGAAGCGAUUCCUUGGUACCGCAGCUAACGCGUGAAGUUGCCCGCCUGGGGAGUACGGCCGCAAGGUUA
Molecule: ribosomal RNA, 375 nt
Filed under: uncultured bacterium
Lineage: Bacteria
Description: bacterial SSU rRNA
Rfam family: Bacterial small subunit ribosomal RNA
Source: RNAcentral